GUUUCAGUCAAGUAUGUCAGUUAAACAGUGCCAAGUCUUGUAAGUCAAUUACCUGCCACUGAGCGGAAAUCUCCGACCGCUUACAUAAAGCUUACGUGUCCUUCUACUCAGCUCACUCUUACCACUUACCACUUUGUGUGGUGUUGCCUACUUUUGUGCGCAGCGCUGUCUCACUUCGCCGCUUCGACUGACAGGAUACAAAGCAAAUUCCCAAUGCAACGACUGCAUUAUGAUUGUCACUUCAAAUCCUUGAAAUGCUGAUUGAAUGGACGGCAAUUCGCUCGGAAAAGCCAGUCGGGAAUGGGGAGGUGGGUCGGUGUCGAGUUGGUGGAUACCCAGCACUCGAAUGCUGACGCAUAGCAUCAAACAUGGAGUGCAGCUGAACGUCACGCACUUGGCUGUCGCCGUUUUUAUGCUGCCAAUAAUUCAAACUGCUGUGCGAAUGCAAAAAUGACAAGCCAAGUUCUCGACUUUGAAGUGGAAUCGCAGAAUCGGAGAAUCGAUGCGCAGAAGCACUCAGGAGAUAACGACUGGCGACACAAACGACCGGAGCACAUCUACAUAGCAGAGCCCACUCCUCCACUAGUCUGGCAUAAUAAAUGAACUCCUAUUCCCCAGUCACGUCAUUUAAUAAUGCAAUCCCAGCCGAGAACGGAGUUGGCUCGCAAGGCUGUACAAUUAAUUUAUCAUCAUAAAAUAACGCAAUAAAUUUUGAAAUGGAAAUGCCCUGACCGCUGUCAAAAGUUUCCGG
Drosophila melanogaster (fruit fly) is the source of this 751-nucleotide non-coding RNA. The record is from Ensembl. Lineage: Eukaryota; Metazoa; Arthropoda; Insecta; Diptera; Drosophilidae.